This 423-nucleotide ribosomal RNA is filed under the name uncultured microorganism. RNAcentral's name for it is "bacterial SSU rRNA". It matches the Rfam family "Bacterial small subunit ribosomal RNA", at positions 9 to 430 of the family's 1533-position model. The record is from RNAcentral.
GAGUUUGAUCGUGGCUCAGAUUGAACGCUGGCGGCAUGCCUUACACAUGCAAGUCGAACGGCAGCAUGAUCUAGCUUGCUAGAUUGAUGGCGAGUGGCGAACGGGUGAGUAAUACAUCGGAACGUGCCCUGUAGUGGGGGAUAACUAGUCGAAAGAUUAGCUAAUACCGCAUACGACCUGAGGGUGAAAGUGGGGGACCGCAAGGCCUCAUGCUAUAGGAGCGGCCGAUGUCUGAUUAGCUAGUUGGUGGGGUAAAGGCCCACCAAGGCGACGAUCAGUAGCUGGUCUGAGAGGACGAUCAGCCACACUGGGACUGAGACACGGCCCAGACUCCUACGGGAGGCAGCAGUGGGGAAUUUUGGACAAUGGGCGAAAGCCUGAUCCAGCAAUGCCGCGUGUGUGAAGAAGGCCUCGGUUGUAAGU